RNAcentral lists this long non-coding RNA (385 nucleotides) under Prunus persica (peach). RNAcentral's name for it is "long non-coding RNA (PPER_LNC007717)". The record is from RNAcentral. Lineage: Eukaryota; Viridiplantae; Streptophyta; Magnoliopsida; Rosales; Rosaceae.
UGGAUUAUAACCUCCAAUGGAGCGUUAUUUUACAGUAGGGAGUGGAUAAUCUCUAUUUUAGGGAGUUGGAACAUUUAGAACCCAUAUAUCUGUCAUGCUGCAGGCAUGCCACAGAUUAAUACAUACAUGUCAAUUAAUUUCUGGGACUUUAACCCAUACAAUUUGCUACGCAUUAGGUGUGCACAAUAUCAAUAUUGACAUGCCAAAGGAUUGUCCUUUCGAGACUUCAAUCCACAUCAUUUGCUACGCAACAGGCGUACAUCAUAUUGAUCACUGCUAUACCCAUAUUCUGUUCUUAUGGGACUUUAAUCUGUGCAGUGUAUUGUCAAUGUAUCCAACUUGCAAUCUGUAAAAUUUGCAUUAAUAAUUCAUGGAUACAUACAAG